Molecule: ribosomal RNA, 261 nt
Filed under: Triticum aestivum (bread wheat)
Lineage: Eukaryota; Viridiplantae; Streptophyta; Magnoliopsida; Poales; Poaceae
Description: partial small subunit ribosomal RNA
Source: RNAcentral
AUGAGUAUCUUCAGCUGGAACUGUCGUGGUGCGGGCAAAGCCGCGACAGUUAGAGAACUUCGCGAUAUUGUGAAGGAUUUUGCCCCUACCCUGAUUUGUAUUGUUGAAACGCAAAUUGAUAGAACUAGGGUAGAAAGUUUAGCUGGAAGUAUUGGGUAUGAUAAUGGUUAUGCUGUCAGUAGUCAAGGAAGGAGUACCACCGGGUGCAAUGAGUAUCUUCAGCUGGAACUGUCGUGGUGCGGGCAAAGCCGCGACAGUUAG